GACGAACGCUGGCGGCGUGCCUAAUACAUGCAAGUCGAGCGGACGAAUCGAAAGCUUGCUUUUGAUUCGUUAGCGGCGGACGGGUGAGUAACACGUGGGCAACCUGCCCUGUAGACGGGGAUAACACCGAGAAAUCGGUGCUAAUACCGGAUAACACGAAAUGUCGCAUGACGUUUCGUUGAAAGACGGCGCAAGCUGUCGCUACAGGAGGGGCCCGCGGCGCAUUAGCAAGUUGGUGAGGUAACGGCUCACCAAGGCGACGAUGCGUAGCCGACCUGAGAGGGUGAUCGGCCACACUGGGACUGAGACACGGCCCAGACUCCUACGGGAGGCAGCAGUAGGGAAUCUUCCGCAAUGGACGAAAGUCUGACGGAGCAACGCCGCGUGAGCGAAGAAGGCCUUCGGGUCGUAAAGCUCUGUUGUUAGGGAAGAACAAGUAACGCAGUAACUGGCGUUACCGUGACGGUACCUAACGAGAAAGCCACGGCUAACUACGUGCCAGCAGCCGCAGUAA
RNAcentral lists this ribosomal RNA (514 nucleotides) under uncultured bacterium. Its description in RNAcentral is "partial 16S ribosomal RNA". It matches the Rfam family "Bacterial small subunit ribosomal RNA", at positions 28 to 523 of the family's 1533-position model. The record is from RNAcentral.